This 198-nucleotide ribosomal RNA is filed under the name uncultured bacterium. RNAcentral describes it as "partial 16S ribosomal RNA". It matches the Rfam family "Bacterial small subunit ribosomal RNA", at positions 326 to 539 of the family's 1533-position model. The record is from RNAcentral.
ACGCUCGACACCUACGGUAGGCAGCAGUGGGGGAUAUUGCACAAUGGAGGAAACUCUGAUGCAGCGACGCCGCGUGAGGGAAGAAGGUUUUCGGAUUGUAAACCUCUGUCUUCGGUGACGAAAAUGACGGUAGCCGAGGAGGAAGCCACGGCUAACUACGUGCUAGCAGCCGCGGUAAUCUGAGCGGGCUGGCAAGGC